RNAcentral lists this long non-coding RNA (3373 nucleotides) under Homo sapiens (human). RNAcentral's name for it is "non-protein coding lnc-GOLGA6L1-1:1". The record is from RNAcentral. Lineage: Eukaryota; Metazoa; Chordata; Mammalia; Primates; Hominidae.
AAAUCUAAAAGCUUAAUUCUUUUUAUCAAAAUAAGAGUUCCAGCAUGAGAAAGUGGGGUAUAAAAAAGCAGAAGAUUGCCAGGCACGGUGGCUCACACCUGUAAUCCCAGCACUUUGGGAGGCCGAGGCGGACGAUCAUGAGGUCAGGAGAUCGAGACCAUCCUGGCUAGCACUAUGAAACCCCAUCUCUACUAAAAAUACAAAAAAUUAGCCGGGUGUGGUGGCGGGUGCCUGUAGUCCCAGCUACUCGGGAGGCUGAGGCAGGAGAAUGGUGUGAACCCAGGAGGCAGAGCUUGCAGUGAGCUGAGAUCGCGCCACUGCACUCCAGCCUGGGUGACAGAGUGAGGCUCCAUCAAAAGAAAAAAAAACAGCAGAGGAUUUUACUCAUACUGGGAUCUCAUUUUAUCUCCAUGUAUUCCUCCCCUGACACACAUUCUCCCUAAACACACUUAAGACUUUGAGAGGUAGAAAGGACCUUGAAGCCUUUUACUCUAAUCCUUCUUCUCAAUCCCCAUUAUAAUAUACCUGACACAUGGUCAUUUCACUUGUGUCCAGGGUCGGGGAGUCCCAAUGUCCUAAGCCAAUGAUAAGUGAAGUUCUAGGGCAGCAGAGAGAGUAUUAUUCAAUGGUUUUAAUUCAGUUUUCUGAAUUGACACUGCUCCUUUGUAUAAAAGAAAGGAAGGUAAAACCAGAAGUACCCUCUCCUACCCACUGAGCUUAGUCUGACAAUACAAACAGGCUACCUUGCAGAUUUGUAAAUAGAAGGCAGAUUUGCAAAUGAAAUGCACAUUUUUUUUUAAUCCAAAGAGAAGAGAGAGCUCAGGAAGUCAGUCAAAAGACUCAGGGAUAGUCCUGGUUGACUGGCUGGCUUUAUCCCCAGUCUCACUGACAACCUAACUCUACUUUGAUCAUAUUUAGUUCUGACGGUCCAGUUCCAUCUCAGUGCAGGCCCUGAGAGUAUAACAAAAUCCACAUCUUUCAGAAGCCACAAAAGACCAGAACUUGAGGAUGAAAAAUCUGGCCCCAGGGAAUAUAAAGCUGAUAUCACCAAAAUAGCGAUAUUGCUUGUAUCUCCCCUUAAACCCUGUGAACUGGCAGCUGAGGGAGGAGAGAAAGACAGAAUGUUGGAUGCCUCACCUGCUUAAUAAAGGUGAUUGAAACCAUGUCCCAGGAGACAAUGCCAUGGUCCAUGAGCUCUAGGAAGGCAGUCAGGGUGAAUGCCAGCAUAUCACUGUAGCUGAGACACACACAAAAUGGACAAAGAUGCAGACUGGGAAACACAGGUGUGAGGGCAGCCACAAAAAAGAUGAAUUUUAGGCUGGGUGUGGUGGCUCAUGCCUGUAAUCUCAGCACUUUGGGAGGCUGAGGCGGGUGGAUGAGAUCAGGAGAUCGAGACUAUCCUGGCUAACAUGGUGAAACCCCGUCUGUACUAAAAAAUACAAAAAACUUAGCCAAGUGUGGUGGCGGGCACCUGUAGUCCCAGCUACUCCGGAGGCUGAGGCAGGAGAAUGGCAUGAACCUGGGAGGCAGAGCUGGCAGUGAGCCGAGAUUGGGCCACUGCACUCCAGCCUGGGUGACAGAGCCAGACUCCGUCUAAAAAAAAAAAAAAAAAAAAAAAAAAAAAAAAAAUGAUGAAUUUUAAUGUGAACACCCCAUGGGAAAUCAGUCGAUGCAACUGUAACUGUAAGUGCCUGUGCGCACACCUAGCAAGUAGAGCAGGUUCAGCCCAGGUAUCUAUCACUGCCAAAAAAAAUGCUGCUGGCUGAUCAGACCUUUCUUCUCUAUGUGCUUCAUCCUAGGGACACAGAAUCACUUAUCUAUUUCUCAAGACCAAAGAAGACAUCGGACCCUUGUCAAACUCCAGCACCUAUUGGGGGAACCUAAGGAGGCAUAAGUGCCAUGUUAACCUUUGGGCCAAGAGGCAGUAGAGUGCAAGAGAUGGGCUCAGUUCUUGUCCACCUUACUAACCAAGCAAAUUUUAUCUUUUCAAAACUCAAUGUCUUCCUCUGUAAAAUCAAGUUAGUCUCACAGCGUUAACCUCACAGGAUUGUGGAGAGGGCAAGAUGAUGAUGUAUGCAAAGCACUUAUUCUAGUGCUGAUAGAGAAUAAGGAUUAAAAUGUUUUCUCUUUUCUCUCUUCUCCUUUAUAUAUCUGUACAGUGCUCUAGAAUUAACAGAUGAUAUUCCCAUUUACAAAGCAUGUUCAGACACAGUCUCAUUAACAAUACUUCUCACAAUAAUACUGCAAGGUAGCUAUUAUUAUCCUCAGGCUAAAGAGAGGGAAACUAAGGCCAGUCUAACCCUGCACUCUCGGGAGACUGUAGAACUGUGUCAGUGCUGAUGGCAGCUGAAGGCUUCAGGACUUGAGUACAGCUGGAAGAUCCAAGAUGUAAAACAAAUAUCUAUGAUUAGUUACUUGAUUUGGCUGAAAAUUUCCAUAGUUCAUCUACGGGCUGAGAAGAUUUCUGAUUCCCUCUUUGGCAGCGUAGGCUCCAAGCACCUGUUUACUGACUGCUCUUCACAAGGCACAGCUGCCCACCUCAUGCAUGUCAACUCUGGGGUAUGAUGAAAAUGUUUGUGGGUAUCAUAAAGUUCUGGUCUCCUCCUCCCUGUGCAAAAGUGUGGCAGGGAGAUGGUGACUUGGUAGGUUGUAACCUGUGGUAAACACAAACGAAGCUGUGUGUGUGUGUGUGUGUGUGUGUUGUGUGUGUGGUGGAAGGUGACUUGAGAGAGAGGGAGCAGGGGGUGGUUACAGAUGGACACACACCUGGGACAUAUUGGACCAUGUGCUCAGUAACCCUCAUCAGACCAAGCAUUUCCAGCAAUUAACAGGUCUGUCACAACCUGACCGCUCUCCUACUGACUUCUCUAGCCCCUAUUUUCACUGCUCACUUGGCACAGUAUUGUUUUGUACUAUUAUUUAAUUUGUGAGAGCCCAACUAUACUACAAGAUUUAGAAGAACAACACGGAAUUAUAUGUCUCGGUAUGGACUCUAGUGCUUUGCACACUGCUCUGUACAUAGGUGGUAUUCAAUAAACUCCUUAUGUGACUUGAUGGAAAUGAGACUAGGAUGCCCUGUGGGAUGUAGUAAAUCACUGAAGUCUCUGGAAUGAGACCUUAGUCAUACUCACUGGGACAGGAGUUUGGUUCCAUUUUCCACAAGCCUCGUCAGCACAAUGAUGCCAUCCAUGUUGAUGAACUCAGUAGCAAAAGUCACGUCAGCAGAGCUUGGCCAGCACCUUCAUGGUAUCCAGCCGGGUCUCCAUGUUGGAUGACUGGGUCCUCUCCAUCAGCUGGGCGUGCAGCCUGGGACUAGGAAACCAGGGACAAGACAUGUGCCAUCUGCUCCUUGGAGCAGGUUACUACUCUGUGG